This is a long non-coding RNA of Rhincodon typus (whale shark), 295 nucleotides long. RefSeq lists it as uncharacterized. Lineage: Eukaryota; Metazoa; Chordata; Chondrichthyes; Orectolobiformes; Rhincodontidae. The record is from RefSeq and is a predicted model, not a curated record. The transcript has 2 exons.
GACUGCAAGAACAUUGCCAACAUAAUGAAGGAACUAGCAAGAAGAGGAUUCACUUUCAAACAAACUGGAUCAAACCUCUGAAUGUGCUGCAGAAGAAAAGAACAUGUCUUACUGCUUUGAAAAAACAUAAAGGAUAUAUGAUCAUUUGUAUUGAAUCAAAUGGCUGGACACCACAGUGAAGCAGCUGUAGAAGACAAACAAGAUCUAUCAAAAAUGGGCUGGAAUAUUCUUCUGUAAAUGCAACUUUUUUUGACCUUAUGUAUCAGAACAGAAUUAAAGUAGGUGAUGCACAGUA